UUGCAUAUGAAAGUACAAAAAUUGCACUCUAUACUUCUGAACAAGCAGUGAGUCAAUGUCAAAUGCUAGCAACAAUCAGAAGAAUUAGGAAACAUGACUGACAUAGGAUUGAAUAUCAUAACCUGAUUGACUUUUACUCUCUUUGGUUCUUCUUCUGCAGUUCUACUUCUUGUGUGCCUUCAGUUUGUCAUUUAGGUUAUAAGAAAAAGUAUAGUGGUCUGUAAGGGUAAUCCGAU
RNAcentral lists this long non-coding RNA (236 nucleotides) under Coffea arabica (coffee). RNAcentral describes it as "long non-coding RNA (CARA_LNC002348)". The record is from RNAcentral. Lineage: Eukaryota; Viridiplantae; Streptophyta; Magnoliopsida; Gentianales; Rubiaceae.